This 122-nucleotide transfer RNA is filed under the name Umbilicaria muhlenbergii. Its description in RNAcentral is "tRNA-Thr (CGT) (tRNA-Thr-CGT-1-1)". Lineage: Eukaryota; Fungi; Ascomycota; Lecanoromycetes; Umbilicariales; Umbilicariaceae. The record is from RNAcentral.
GCCCGCUUGGCUUAGGGGUACAGCGUCUCACUCGUAAUGAGAAGAUCCUCAGUUGUAAGAGCCUCAUACCCCAUGCAUUUCCUUGGCGCUGACGUAAUCCUAAGCGAUUCUGAGAGUGGGCA